GUUAAAAUAAAAGAUUUUCUUUUUUCUUCCCCCAUUUCAGGCUGUGUGCUUGGGAAAUCUGACAAAGCAGCAAUUCAAUAAAACUAAAACGUUUCCUGAAAGUUAUACCCACCUCCAGCAAAAGGCUCAUCAAGAACAGUUUGACAGAGUGGGUAAAAAUCAAACCACCUUCCCAAGCAGCCAGCAGUCUGGUGUCACCUCCCUGCCAUGAGAGAGUCCUAUUCAACUCUGCAUUUAGAAAUAAGCAGAGCAAGAGCAUACUGUCUGUGUAAAUGCUCUGACCAGGAGGCUAUUUUCAGAUCUCUUAUUUAGGGCUAAAACCCCCAAAGCUUUGAAGCUAGGAUUUCACCCACAUGGGAAGAGGAAAAUAUUUGUACUAUCAUAAAUAUUUACAUGAUUGAAAACUUGUAGAGUUCUAAUUGUGAAUGCAGCUUUCCAUUUCCCUGCCUUAAAAUCUGCCUUUUACUUUGCUUUCCAAGAGGAAGCUUUCUGCAAUGUCUCCAGGUAACUUCGAAGCACCGAUCUCAAAGCAGGAAAACCUGCUGAGAUGUGGGGGCUUCUGCACCCCCGUCUUGCUGCUGGUAGACACAGCACAGAGAGACCUGGCUGUAGAACAAGGCAGAGAUCCACUGGGAGCCUGGGAAGUGAGGUCCCAACACUAUGCCGUGCUCAGAUUUGAGAAGGACAAAGAUUAAAAGAAGAGGGGAAAUGAAAAGCAGGGUACUGGAGGAUGAACGAUACCAACCUUAAUGAUACACAACACCAUCUUGUGCUGCUUAUUUCUGUGCCUCGAACUGUUUGCCACAAUUUCUCUGAAAAAAAAGCCAGAAAAUGUGUGUUUUAAAAUGCCAUUCCCCUGUAAUGUGAAUCACAGUAAAAUACUGCUGUAGGAUCUCCUGAACACCAGCCAGAUCAGCAGUCGGUACCAUGAAGAGAGGAAGAACAUGCAUGAGCUGUCUGACCCAACAACAGCUGAAUAAAGAAUAACCUGAGAUUUGCAACCAUAAAGCUUGCAACCAUAAACCAUUGCAAAUUAGCAGUAAUGGAGAGAACUAACAUUACAUGUCUUUAUAGGGCUUUGCUAAACUAAGUAACAAAUUAAUUGGUUUUAAUAAAUAACUCCUUUUCUUUCCUGUAGGCACUGGGAUGUUGAGCAGCAUGCUCAGAGUUUGCUUGUUUUUGUGUCCAUCCAGAUUUAUGGGAUCCAUUUUGAAAGCCUGAGUGGCAUUAAGAUCAAUUUAGAGUGCUGAAAAUGAUGCUUUAGGUGGCUGGUUUUGCGUUUAGUCUGGGAAGUUUUCAGAGAAGGAGAUGUCAGCUUACUGAUUACUCUCCCCAAAUGCCAUCUUGCAGUAUCUUUUAGAAAUGAGCCCAAAGACAGAGCUGUGCCCUGGUUUGGCAGACUCAUCUAAGCAGGUAGAAGAG
Molecule: long non-coding RNA, 1422 nt
Filed under: Strigops habroptila (Kakapo)
Lineage: Eukaryota; Metazoa; Chordata; Aves; Psittaciformes; Psittacidae
Description: lncRNA (ENSSHBG00005011165.1)
Source: RNAcentral